GAUUCCCUUGCAGCAAACAAAUACAUACUUUCAAUUGAACCUACAAAUGAAUAUAAAAAUGAUAGGAAUCUG
This 72-nucleotide non-coding RNA is filed under the name Tieghemostelium lacteum. Its description in RNAcentral is "Dictyostelium lacteum Class I RNA from Dictyostelium". It matches the Rfam family "Class I RNA from Dictyostelium". The record is from Rfam by way of RNAcentral. Lineage: Eukaryota; Evosea; Eumycetozoa; Dictyosteliales; Raperosteliaceae.